Long non-coding RNA from Perca flavescens (yellow perch), 424 nucleotides. RefSeq lists it as uncharacterized. NCBI's taxonomy places the organism in Eukaryota, Metazoa, Chordata, Actinopteri, Perciformes, Percidae. The transcript has 3 exons. The record is from RefSeq and is a predicted model, not a curated record.
CUUCCUUCCUGAGACAAACUGAGCGGUAACUUGCUGAACACACUGAUCUACUUUUCUCCCUUGACUCUUCUGAUUGCCUCGGGCAGGUCAUACUGGAGCUAACUUGGUUCCCCUGGCAGUUUUGGACCUGAGUGCACUUCCAGAGCCAAAGACAUACAUAGAAGACCUACACUUUUAUUGCACAAACUUGGAGUCUUAAAUGUUUUCUGAUUUCUGAUUGGUCAUCUUGAUUCUAAAUUUAGGACUAUAAAAUGUUGAGUUAUUUCAAAAGCCCCAAACGGCCUGCUGAUGGUUAUAAAGAAAAAAGCACAUUGCUAAAACCUAAAAUAGGGCCUCUCCCUGUUUAUAUAGUUGACCUGAAAGAAGAACAAAUCAAUGUUGAUGGGUGCAAGCGAUUCAGAUUGGGUAAAGAGUCAAAAGAUAA